GCAAGAUACGAGGAACUGUCGCCCGCUUACAGCCGAUGCGAGCGCUAGCGCCGGCGCUCCCGAUCCGGUGCACCUCGCUCCCCUCCCGCGCUUCUUCCUCCACCAACGCGCGGGCAAAUUCCCUGGCCUCGAUCCAGAUUGCUUCCUUGCGCGCCAAAUCGAAGAUGCCCUCCAAAUCGCCAUCUCGUCGAACCCUAAAACUGCUGCUCCAGAUCGUCCCCAAAUCGCCGCCACCAAACCCUCGAACUGACGCUGGUGCCGCAUCAAGGUGAUGGAUCAGCAGUCCAAAAGGACGUGUGUCUCAUCCCGUGCCUCAGCUCCUUCCGGCCCUGCCUCAUCCCGUCCCGCCGUCGGCCUUCCCGUCAGCAGACGGACCAGCCGCUGGGUUCCCCCACGACCACCCCUGUCAGUGGCGGCCUCCUCUGCACUAUGCUGGCUUCCUGGCCUGCAGCAACCUAGUAGCAAGUUAUUCGGCUCGUGGCCUUGCUGAGCACCUCCUGCAACCAUUGACGGUUCUACAUCUUCUUGGUACAUGGCUGAGAGUAUUGACGACUCUGAUCUGCAAGCAUGUGGCUGAAUGUUGUUGAUGUAGCUGUUCAUUUCUACUGAAGCUCCAACUAUGGAUUUGUGCCUUCAACGUCGUCAAGAUCGAACUGAUGUUUUGUUUUGCUGGAGACCGUAUUUAUUAUUUUGUUUGGUUCAUGCUUUUCUCUAAAGAGUCUUGUAUUGUUCAAGUGUUGAUGUGUUGGUGAUAUGUGCUAUUAGUUUGCCGCUCCUUGUCGUCAAGAUCAAACCUAUUUGAUUGUUUGUCGGAAAUCUUAUUUAGUAUGAUGUUUGGUUAAUGUUUUCA
Molecule: long non-coding RNA, 850 nt
Organism: Lolium rigidum
Lineage: Eukaryota; Viridiplantae; Streptophyta; Magnoliopsida; Poales; Poaceae
Exons: 2
Source: RefSeq, a predicted model, not a curated record